RNAcentral lists this long non-coding RNA (1535 nucleotides) under Panax ginseng (ginseng). RNAcentral's name for it is "long non-coding RNA (PGIN_LNC002681)". The stretch from base 687 to 811 matches the Rfam family "MIR6135 microRNA precursor family". The record is from RNAcentral. Lineage: Eukaryota; Viridiplantae; Streptophyta; Magnoliopsida; Apiales; Araliaceae.
AUCAGUUUAACAUUGUUGAAGGCUAAUGAUAAUUUAUUCUGCAUUAUCUUAGUCAUAAUAUUUCUUACUGGGCUAGUUGAGCUCACCCUUUUGCUUUCAUUGUUCUCUUUAGGAAAUGAGAACGUAGCAGGGAUUAGCCGGGGAACAGAGUGAUGGUCCUAGAUGGUGCAUUAGUAGUCCUCACUAUUCUGUGAAAUAGUGUGAUAAUAAAUGUAAUGAAGACCCCAUUGAGUUUGUAUAUUGUCUAAAUGACAAUAUUUGUAUUAAAACUCACAGCAUAUGUUUAGUCGUAUUUUACACGACUGUUGUGUAAUCAAGUGGUAUUUGAAUUUAGUACCUUGUAUCUGGAGACCCAAGAUGGGUGAUGUAUACCUGUUUUGGGGCGUCACAUGGGGUCAUAGAAAAGUGUGAAUGGAUUCUUCAAUUAAAAAGUAAUUUAGAAGAGAAAUUUAGAUAAAAAAAUUUAUUAUUAAUUAGCGUGCCGAAUCCAAUUAGGACGUUUAAUAUAGGACUGAUGGAGUAGUUGAUUUGUGCAUAUAUAGUUCUACAAAAUGUAUAAGAGUAUUUACAUAUAUGUAAAUUACUAUCAAGUUACAACCAGCAAAAUAAGAUUAUUGACUUUAUUUUAGUGGAAGACUGUUGAGUUCUUAGACUCUUACGAAUAGUUAUAUUAGGAUCCGGUUAACAUGAAGUUAUUUUUUUGGUAAGUUGGUCAAUUGACCAAUAGAAUACUGACACACAUACAACCUCGCCUGCAUGUCAGUAUUCUAUUGGUCAAUUGACGACCAACUUACCCCAAAAUAAACUUCAUACUAACCACUUCCGUUAUAUUAUAUAUUAAUGGUGUUAUCAGGGUUAUGUUUGUUUGCAAAGAUUAUACUUGAGAUUGGACUAUUAAUCUCAAGUCUCUUGUUUGUUUUUAAAAAAUAGACCUGGGAUUAUUUUUGUUUAAAAAGAGAGAUGUAUCUUAUCAUAUCUAUCUAUACUAUCUAAACCUUUAAAGAAUCAUGGACAAAACAAACAUAAUAUGCGAUUAUUUUAAGUUAUCCCAAUAAUAAUCUCAUGACUAGGACUAUUUAAUUCUAAGAUUAAUAGUCUUGGAAUUAUAAUCCAUGGGAAUAUAGUCUCGGGAUUAUAAUCAUUACAAACAAGCAUGGCCCUAUAGUUCUCUCUUACCUUAUUCACUAGUUUUCGUUCAAAUUUUCUAAAAAUUAACUAAAUUUAAAAUAUUGUUAUGGUGAUAAAAGAAUCUUAUAAAAAAUUAUUUACUUACAAAAUGAUAUAUGUGGCAUAAUGUAACAAGUAAAAUACAAAAGUGACCCAUGUACUAUAGGGGUAUUUGGAUAUUGCACUCUCUUUUUUAAAUAAUGCAAAACACACAUUUUACUAUUUGAAAAUUUAGAUUGUGAACCAUAUUGUGCCAUGUGGCGUUGACUUGUACACAUGACACAUUGAUAUGUCAAUUUAACACAUUUUGAUACAAAUAUAUAUUCUCCCAAGAUUUGAACUUAACACCUUGUACUUCCAAAUUCAAC